Molecule: ribosomal RNA, 425 nt
Filed under: uncultured bacterium
Lineage: Bacteria
Description: partial 16S ribosomal RNA
Rfam family: Bacterial small subunit ribosomal RNA
Source: RNAcentral
GUGGGGAAUCUUGCGCAAUGGGCGAAAGCCUGACGCAGCCAUGCCGCGUGAAUGAUGAAGGUCUUAGGAUUGUAAAAUUCUUUCACCGGGGACGAUAAUGACGGUACCCGGAGAAGAAGCCCCGGCUAACUUCGUGCCAGCAGCCGCGGUAAUACGAAGGGGGCUAGCGUUGCUCGGAAUUACUGGGCGUAAAGGGCGCGUAGGCGGACAGCUUAGUCAGAGGUGAAAGCCCAGGGCUCAACCUUGGAAUUGCCUUUGAUACUGACUGUCUUGAGUUUGGGAGAGGUGAGUGGAACUCCGAGUGUAGAGGUGAAAUUCGUAGAUAUUCGGAAGAACACCAGUGGCGAAGGCGACUCACUGGCCCAAUACUGACGCUGAGGCGCGAAAGCGUGGGGAGCAAACAGGAUUAGAUACCCUGGUAGUCC